This 558-nucleotide ribosomal RNA is filed under the name Triticum aestivum (bread wheat). RNAcentral's name for it is "partial small subunit ribosomal RNA". The record is from RNAcentral. Lineage: Eukaryota; Viridiplantae; Streptophyta; Magnoliopsida; Poales; Poaceae.
AUGACAAUAAUAGAUUUCAUAGACGUGAUUGAUGAUAUUGUUGACUUGAGCGGCGAUGAGGAGACUGUUGAAAGGGCGACGUUGCUUGGUACGCAGGCUCUUUUGAUCCUAUCUGGUGAAGGAAGGCAAGAUGCACAGGCUGGUGAAGGAAGGCAAGAUGAUACUGAGUCCGGAAAUGCUUUGGUAGCCGCCACAUUUUCUCCAAGUAUGGAAAAGGCGCCUCUUGAUACGGCUGUAUCACAGAACUCUCCUCACUCUCCAACAGCAGCGCUAUUCGCCAGCUCAGCUACUACCACUCCGACGGCUCUGUCCUCUGAACGUAGUGAUGCGAAGCUGGUGAGUGUGAAGGUGAAACGGCCUGGGAGGAACUACCACACGGGGGGUACUCCUAGGAGAAGUCCUAGACUUGAAGAGAAUAAAAGGUGCCGUAACAAGUCUACAGAAGAGCUGGCAGCCGAUUGCAAGAGCCCUAACAUGCUUGAGCAAGCAGAGGAAUCAGCUGCCUCUAGUCAGAAUGCAGGUUCUGCAAAGAUCCUCUAUACAAACCCUGCAAACUAA